Molecule: long non-coding RNA, 551 nt
Organism: Musa acuminata AAA Group (dessert banana)
Lineage: Eukaryota; Viridiplantae; Streptophyta; Magnoliopsida; Zingiberales; Musaceae
Exons: 4
Source: RefSeq, a predicted model, not a curated record
GACACGGGCGGUUUUGCGGUCCGGUCGGUCGACCCAAUUAUGCAUGCGAUACAAGCAAGCCCUAGCGGCCCCCAUCUUGACAUCGCGAUGGCCGUCUUCGUUCUCCGCCGCCCUACCUAACGCAACGAUCGCAAUGGAGACCGUCGACGAACGGGCGGGACGAAGGACCGCGUGGCACCUUUCGGCGGUGUGGUGAAUAGCUUUCGCAUAGUGGCUAUUUAGCGAGAAAAAUAUCUUUGAUGAAAUGCUUGGAUAGAAUUGAAGUAUGAUGUGAGGCAGUUCAUCCAGAUUGAGAAAGAAUAAACCAAACAGGACCGGCUGUUUGAUUCAGCUUUGCCUGGUUCUAAUCAAAGAUCAGAAAGGGUACGAUACAGUUGUAGGGUCAACCAUAAACUGAACCUCACCAGGUUCGUUCUGGUUCUAAGAGUCAUUUGCUUCUGAAGUGCACCUCUACAGAGCUGAUCCUAUCCCAUUAGAAAUGGAAGACCCACCAAUCAUUUCAUCAGAAAUCACUAAUGCCAAGUCACGAAAGAAGAAACCAUUGAAGCAAA